Molecule: ribosomal RNA, 232 nt
Filed under: uncultured bacterium
Lineage: Bacteria
Description: partial 16S ribosomal RNA
Rfam family: Bacterial small subunit ribosomal RNA
Source: RNAcentral
CGGACGGGUGAGUAAUGCUUGGGAAUCUAGCUUAUGGAGGGGGAUAACUACGGGAAACUGUAGCUAAUACCGCGUAAUAUCGAAAGAUUAAAGUGUGGGACCUUCGGGCCACAUGCCAUAGGAUGAGCCCAAGUGGGAUUAGGUAGUUGGUGAGGUAAAGGCUCACCAAGUCGACGAUCUCUAGCUGGUCUGAGAGGAUGACCAGCCACACUGGGACUGAGACACGGCCCAG